This 164-nucleotide ribosomal RNA is filed under the name uncultured bacterium. RNAcentral's name for it is "partial 16S rRNA". It matches the Rfam family "Bacterial small subunit ribosomal RNA", at positions 355 to 511 of the family's 1533-position model. The record is from RNAcentral.
UAGGGAAUCUUCCACAAUGGACGCAAGUCUGAUGGAGCAACGCCGCGUGAGUGAAGAAGGUUUCGGAUCGUAAAGCUCUGUUGUAAGAGAAGAACGUGUGUGAGAGUGGAAAGUUCACACAGUGACGGUAACUUACCAGAAAGGGACGGCUAACUACGUGCCAG